This 497-nucleotide ribosomal RNA is filed under the name uncultured bacterium. Its description in RNAcentral is "partial 16S ribosomal RNA". It matches the Rfam family "Bacterial small subunit ribosomal RNA", at positions 28 to 507 of the family's 1533-position model. The record is from RNAcentral.
GAUGAACGCUGGCGGCGUGCCUAAUACACGCGAGUCGAGCGAACAGAUGAGGAGCUUGCUCCUCUGACGUUAGCGGCGGACGGGUGAGUAACACGUGGAUAACCUACCUAUAAGACUGGGAUAACUUCGGGAAACCGGAGCUAAUACCGGAUAAUAUAUUGAACCGCAUGGUUCAAUAGUGAAAGACGGUUUUGCUGUCACUUAUAGAUGGAUCCGCGCCGCAUUAGCUAGUUGGUAAGGUAACGGCUUACCAAGGCAACGAUGCGUAGCCGACCUGAGAGGGUGAUCGGCCACACUGGAACUGAGACACGGUCCAGACUCCUACGGGAGGCAGCAGUAGGGAAUCUUCCGCAAUGGGCGAAAGCGUGACGGAGCAACGCCGCGUGAGUGAUGAAGGUCUUCGGAUCGUAAAACUCUGUUAUUAGGGAAGAACAAAUGUGUAAGUAACUAUGCACGUCUUGACGGUACCUAAUCAGAAAGCCACGGCUAACUACGUG